UGUCAAGGGAUGGGAAUCGAAACCCACGACCUUCCGCUUACCGGGCAGAUGCCAUGACCACUAGGCUACCCUGGAC
Molecule: transfer RNA, 76 nt
Filed under: Cordylochernes scorpioides
Lineage: Eukaryota; Metazoa; Arthropoda; Arachnida; Pseudoscorpiones; Chernetidae
Description: tRNA-Thr
Source: RNAcentral